AGAGUUUGAUCCUGGCUCAGAACGAACGUUGGCGGCGUGGAUUAGGCAUGCAAGUCGUGCGUGAAAGCGUCCUUCGGGGCGUGAGUAAAGCGGCGAACGGGUGAGUAACGCGUGGGGAAUCUGCCUUCGAGUGGGGGAUAACAUCCCUAACGGGGUGCUAAUACCGCAUGAAUCGGCAGACCGCAUGAUCUGUUGGGAAAGGUGGCCUCUGCUUGCAAGCUACCGCUCGAAGAUGACCCCGCGUCCCAUUAGCUAGUUGGUAGGGUAACGGCCUACCAAGGCUCCGAUGGGUAGCCGACCUGAGAGGGUGACCGGCCACACUGGGACUGAGAUACGGCCCAGACUCCUACGGGAGGCAGCAGUCGAGAAGCUUCGGCAAUGGGCGAAAGCCUGACCGAGCGACGCCGCGUGAGCGAUGAAGGCCCUUGUGGUUGUAAAGCUCUGUCAGAGGGGAUUAAAACGGAGCGGCGAAUAGUCUCUCCGUCUGAAAGUACCCUCAAAGGAAGCUCCGGCUAACUCCGUGCCAGCAGCCGCGGUAAUACGGAGGGAGCGAACGUUGUUCGGAAUUACUGGGUGUAAAGGGUGCGUAGGCGGCCUUGUAUGUCGGAGGUGAAAUCUACCGGCUCAACCGGUCAAAUUGCCUCCGAAACUGCUUGGCUUGAGUCCGGAAGGGGAGGGUGGAAUUCCUGGUGUAACGGUGAAAUGUGCAGAUAUCAGGAGGAACACCGAUGGCGAAGGCAGCCCUCUGGUCCGGUACUGACGCUGAGGCACGAAAGCCAGGGGAUCAAACGGGAUUAGAUACCCCGGUAGUCCUGGCCCUAAACGAUGUCCACUAGGUGUUGGAGGUCCUACCCCUUCAGUGCCGCCGCUAACGCAUUAAGUGGACCACCUGGGGAGUACGCUCGCAAGGGUGAAACUCAAAGGAAUUGACGGGGGCCCGCACAAGCGGUGGAGCAUGUGGUUUAAUUCGAUGCAACGCGAAGAACCUUACCGGGGCUUGACAUCCAGGAGACAGGUGUAGAGAUACACCCUCCUUCGGGUUCCUGGACAGGUGCUGCAUGGCUGUCGUCAGCUCGUGUCGUGAAAUGUUGGGUUAAGUCCCGCAACGAGCGCAACCCUUGCCCUUAGUUGCCAGCACGUAAUGGUGGGAACUCUAGGGGGACUGCCGGUGAUAAACCGGAGGAAGGUGGGGACGACGUCAAGUCAUCAUGGCCCUUACGUCCCGGGCUACACACGUGCUACAAUGGCAGAUACAAAGGGUCGCGAACCCGCGAGGGGGAGCCAAUCCCAAAAAGUCUGCCUCAGUUCGGAUCGCAGUCUGCAACUCGACUGCGUGAAGUCGGAAUCGCUAGUAAUCGCGGAUCAGCAUGCCGCGGUGAAUCCGUUCCCGGGCCUUGUACACACCGCCCGUCAAGUCAACCGAAUUGGUUGCACCCGAAGUCGUUGUGCCAACCCGCAAGGGAGGUAGGCGCCUAAGGUGUGGUCAGUAAGGGGGACUAAGUCGGAGCAAGGUA
This 1514-nucleotide ribosomal RNA is filed under the name metagenome. RNAcentral describes it as "bacterial SSU rRNA". It matches the Rfam family "Bacterial small subunit ribosomal RNA". The record is from RNAcentral.